RNAcentral lists this ribosomal RNA (425 nucleotides) under uncultured bacterium. RNAcentral describes it as "partial 16S ribosomal RNA". It matches the Rfam family "Bacterial small subunit ribosomal RNA", at positions 354 to 796 of the family's 1533-position model. The record is from RNAcentral.
GUGAGGAAUAUUGGACAAUGGGCGCAAGCCUGAUCCAGCCAUGCCGCGUGAGUGAUGAAGGCCUUAGGGUUGUAAAGCUCUUUUGUCCGGGAAGAUAAUGACUGUACCGGAAGAAUAAGCCCCGGCUAACUUCGUGCCAGCAGCCGCGGUAAUACGAAGGGGGCUAGCGUUGUUCGGAAUCACUGGGCGUAAAGCGCACGUAGGCGGACCAUUAAGUCAGGGGUGAAAGCCUGGAGCUCAACUCCAGAACUGCCUUUGAUACUGAUGGUCUCGAGUAUGGAAGAGGUUGGUGGAACUGCGAGUGUAGAGGUGAAAUUCGUAGAUAUUCGCAAGAACACCGGUGGCGAAGGCGGCCAACUGGUCCAUUACUGACGCUGAGGUGCGAAAGCGUGGGGAGCAAACAGGAUUAGAUACCCUAGUAGUCC